UAGGGAAUCUUCGGCAAUGGGGGGAACCCUGACCGAGCAACGCCGCGUGAGUGAAGAAGGUUUUCGGAUCGUAAAGCUCUGUUGUUAAGGAAGAACGAGUGUGAGAAUGGAAAGUUCAUGCUGUGACGGUACUUAACCAGAAAGGGACGGCUAACUACUUUCCAGCAGCCGCGGUAAUACGUAGGUCCCGAGUGUUGUCCGGAUUUAUUGGGCGUAAAGCGAGCGCAGGAGGUUAGAAAAGUCUGAAGUGAAAGGCAGUGGCUCAACGAUGGUAUGCUUUGGAGACUGUUUGACUGGAGUGCAGAAGGGGAGAGUGGAAAUCCAUGUGUAGCAGUGAAAUGCGUAGAUAUAUGGAGGAACACCGAUGGCGAAAGCGGCUCUCUGGUCUGUAACUGACGCUGAGGCUCGAAAGCGUGGGGAGCGAACAGG
Molecule: ribosomal RNA, 429 nt
Filed under: Bacteroidota bacterium
Lineage: Bacteria; Pseudomonadati; Bacteroidota
Description: Bacteroidetes bacterium partial 16S ribosomal RNA
Rfam family: Bacterial small subunit ribosomal RNA
Source: RNAcentral